AGCGAAUGUUUGCGGCGGGCCUAACACAUGCAAGUCGAACGGGCUACUUCGGUAGUCAGUGGCGCACGGGUGCGUAACACGUGGGUAAUCAACCCUCUAGACUGGGAUAACCCGGGGAAACUCGAGCUAAUACCAGAUGUGUCGCCCUGAUCCUCGGAUCGGGUCGAGAAAAGGUCGCAAGGCCUGUUAGAGGACGAGCCCGCGGCCCAUCAGCUUGUUGGUGAGGUAAUGGCUCACCAAGGCUAAGACGGGUAGCUGGUCUGAGAGGAUGGCCAGCCACACUGGAACUGAGACACGGUCCAGACUCCUACGGGAGGCAGCAGUGGGGAAUAUUGCGCAAUGGGCGAGAGCCUGACGCAGCCACGCCGCGUGAGCGAUGAAGGCCUCGGUCGUAA
Molecule: ribosomal RNA, 395 nt
Filed under: uncultured bacterium
Lineage: Bacteria
Description: bacterial SSU rRNA
Rfam family: Bacterial small subunit ribosomal RNA
Source: RNAcentral